CUUAAAUGAAUUGACGGGGACCCGCACAAGCGGUGGAUGAUGUGGAUUAAUUCGAUGCAACGCGAAAAACCUUACCUACCCUUGACAUGUCUGGAAUGCCGAAGAGAUUUGGCAGUGCUCGCAAGAGAACCGGAACACAGGUGCUGCAUGGCUGUCGUCAGCUCGUGUCGUGAGAUGUUGGGUUAAGUCCCGCAACGAGCGCAACCCUUGUCAUUAGUUGCUACGCAAGAGCACUCUAAUGAGACUGCCGGUGACAAACCGGAGGAAGGUGGGGAUGACGUCAAGUCCUCAUGGCCCUUAUGGGUAGGGCUUCACACGGCAUACAAUGGUCGGGACAGGGGGUCGCCAACCCGCGAGGGGGAGCCAAUCUCAGAAACCCGAUCGUAGUCCGGAUCGCAGUCUGCAACUCGACUGCGUGAAGUCGGAAUCGCUAGUAAUCGCGGAUCAGAAUGUCGCGGUGAAUACGUUCCCGGGUCUUGUACACACCGCCCGUCACACCA
Molecule: ribosomal RNA, 500 nt
Filed under: uncultured bacterium
Lineage: Bacteria
Description: bacterial SSU rRNA
Rfam family: Bacterial small subunit ribosomal RNA
Source: RNAcentral